RNAcentral lists this ribosomal RNA (342 nucleotides) under Tulasnellaceae sp. CBS 506.93. RNAcentral's name for it is "eukaryotic LSU rRNA". Lineage: Eukaryota; Fungi; Basidiomycota; Agaricomycetes; Cantharellales; Tulasnellaceae. The record is from RNAcentral.
GUGAAUCAUCGAGUUGUUGAACGCAUUGCACCGCGCCCUAAUCCGGCUGCGGUAUGCCCCUUUGAGCGUCAUUUAUUCCUUCGGGAGUCUUUCCUUGCGAAAGACCCGAGUUCGGAGUCCUCGGUCUUUGGAUCGUGUUCUCUUAGAUGCGUCGCGCCGAUCGCCUGAUGGGUACUCUAAUGCCUGAGCGUGGAGUCCCUCUGGAGUUGAGACGUGCUUGACCGGCCGUUGGGCUCGCGUCACCAAGUCCGCGUCCUUUGGGACGGCGGUACUACAACGCAUGACCUCAUUGGGGUAGGACAACCCGCUAGACUUAAGCAUAUUAAUCAGCGGAGGAAAAGA